This 253-nucleotide ribosomal RNA is filed under the name uncultured bacterium. Its description in RNAcentral is "partial 16S ribosomal RNA". It matches the Rfam family "Bacterial small subunit ribosomal RNA", at positions 524 to 776 of the family's 1533-position model. The record is from RNAcentral.
UACGGAGGGUGCGAGCGUUGUCCGGAAUCAUUGGGCGUAAAGGGCGCGUAGGUGGCCCGGUCAGCGUGCGGUGAAAGCUCGGGGCUCAACCCCGAGUCGGCCGUGCGAACUGCUGGGCUUGAGCACUGUAGAGGCAGGUGGAAAUCCGGGUGUAGCGGUGGAAUGCGUAGAGAUCCGGAAGAACACCGGUGGCGAAGGCGGCCUGCUGGGCAGUGGCUGACGCUGAGGCGCGACAGCGUGGGGAGCAAACAGG